UUUCAGCAUGGCCCCUGCACAAGGAUAACACACAAACUCAUGAAGCUUUCCAUAUUAAA
This 59-nucleotide small nuclear RNA is filed under the name Peromyscus maniculatus bairdii (prairie deer mouse). The record is from RNAcentral. Lineage: Eukaryota; Metazoa; Chordata; Mammalia; Rodentia; Cricetidae.